GAGUUUGAUCCUGGCUCAGAUUGAACGCUGGCGGCAGGCCUAACACAUGCAAGUCGAGCGGUAGAGAGAAGCUUGCUUCUCUUGAGAGCGGCGGACGGGUGAGUAAUGCCUAGGAAUCUGCCUGGUAGUGGGGGAUAACGCUCGGAAACGGACGCUAAUACCGCAUACGUCCUACGGGAGAAAGCAGGGGACCUUCGGGCCUUGCGCUAUCAGAUGAGCCUAGGUCGGAUUAGCUAGUUGGUGAGGUAAUGGCUCACCAAGGCGACGAUCCGUAACUGGUCUGAGAGGAUGAUCAGUCACACUGGAACUGAGACACGGUCCAGACUCCUACGGGAGGCAGCAGUGGGGAAUAUUGGACAAUGGGCGAAAGCCUGAUCCAGCCAUGCCGCGUGUGUGAAGAAGGUCUUCGGAUUGUAAAGCACUUUAAGUUGGGAGGAAGGGCAGUAAAUUAAUACUUUGCUGUUUUGACGUUACCGACAGAAUAAGCACCGGCUAACUCUGUGCCAGCCGCCGG
RNAcentral lists this ribosomal RNA (514 nucleotides) under uncultured bacterium. RNAcentral describes it as "bacterial SSU rRNA". It matches the Rfam family "Bacterial small subunit ribosomal RNA", at positions 9 to 518 of the family's 1533-position model. The record is from RNAcentral.